CAGAAAAUGGUUCAACUGAGAAUUCUAGCUUUGGGAGCUAGAGGUGGGAGUUAGAAUCUCUCUUUUCUGG
Molecule: transfer RNA, 70 nt
Filed under: Exostoma labiatum
Lineage: Eukaryota; Metazoa; Chordata; Actinopteri; Siluriformes; Sisoridae
Also listed under: 1 other name
Description: tRNA-Pro
Rfam family: tRNA
About the family: Transfer RNA (tRNA) molecules are approximately 80 nucleotides in length.
Source: RNAcentral